This 536-nucleotide unclassified non-coding RNA is filed under the name Hordelymus europaeus. RNAcentral describes it as "contains 3' external transcribed spacer, ETS". The record is from RNAcentral. Lineage: Eukaryota; Viridiplantae; Streptophyta; Magnoliopsida; Poales; Poaceae.
CCCGUCGUCGUGCGGCCGACUACCGGCGCCGUGUCCCGUCAAUCGUGUAGCAUUGAAUCGCUGGAUUAGRAAGUGCUUGCGUGCUAGUACCCGACCUASGGGAAGUGGUGCUUCGUAUAAUUGUUGCCUCGCGGYGGACGCCCUCUGGGUGUGCCGCUGCGGCCRAAUAGCGCUUGCGGCGUUGCCUCGUGGCGCUGGCAUGUAACGUGCCUGCUGCUAUCAAGGCAACCUCGCUCAYGCUGUUGGUCUCGGAUGCUGCUCAYGAUAAAGGCUCGUGGCCCUUUCGGUUGCCUCGACCCGACCCAAGGCUCUCCGAACUGAGAACAACCGGARCAAGAGUUGCCUCUACCUCUCCAYAGUUACGUGGUAGGAUACGCGACUCUCUGCGCCGAUCCUCAAGGAGGAUGASCUAUGCCCGCUCAACAGCGACAACCGGCCCGGCUGUWRCCUCUGCAUUUCCACGCAAGUGGAAUGGCAGGACGRCUCCGASGCUGGACGUCACCGAGGACGUGCUACCUGGUUGAUCCUGCCAGUAG